RNAcentral lists this ribosomal RNA (479 nucleotides) under uncultured bacterium. RNAcentral's name for it is "partial 16S ribosomal RNA". It matches the Rfam family "Bacterial small subunit ribosomal RNA", at positions 28 to 507 of the family's 1533-position model. The record is from RNAcentral.
GAUGAACGGUAGCGGGAGGCCUAACACAUGCAAGCCGAGCGGUAUUGUUUCUUCGGAAAUGAGAGAGCGGCGUACGGGUGCGUAACACGUGUGCAACCUGCCUUUAUCUGGGGGAUAGCCUUUCGAAAGGAAGAUUAAUACUCCAUAAUAUAUUGAACGGCAUCGUUUAAUAUUGAAAGCUCCGGCGGAUAGAGAUGGGCACGCGCAAGAUUAGCUAGUUGGUGAGGUAACGGCUCACCAAGGCGAUGAUCUUUAGGGGGCCUGAGAGGGUGAUCCCCCACACUGGUACUGAGACACGGACCAGACUCCUACGGGAGGCAGCAGUGAGGAAUAUUGGUCAAUGGGUGCAAGCCUGAACCAGCCAUCCCGUGUGAAGGACGACUGCCCUAUGGGUUGUAAACUUCUUUUGUAUAGGGAUAAACCUACCCUCGAGAGGGUAGCUGAAGGUACUAUACGAAUAAGCACCGGCUAACUCCGUG